RNAcentral lists this long non-coding RNA (464 nucleotides) under Nicotiana benthamiana. Its description in RNAcentral is "long non-coding RNA (NBEN_LNC009923)". Lineage: Eukaryota; Viridiplantae; Streptophyta; Magnoliopsida; Solanales; Solanaceae. The record is from RNAcentral.
GAGCGAGUGUGCAUUGAGUGAGCAGGAGGCAUAGAAGUAGUAGGAGAAGCAGUGCUAGCUGGCAGUGAGGUAGGUGCAGAAGAAGAGAGAACAUUAGAGCAACAUUCGGUAGGAGAAGCGGUGAUGAAACGUGAUCCAUAGAGCUGGAUGUAGGGCACGGAGAAUAAAUACUAGAGGGAGGUGGAGAAGACAACGUAGUAGGAGACAUACUUGACUUAGAUUGGGUACCGGCUACAAAGGGGAUAAAGGAGCAGUAAAUACAAUCUCAAAAGAGCCAUUGGAUGAAGAGACAGUAGAACGGCAAGAUAGUUUAGGAAAUGGAAAAACUAAUUCAUAAAAGACAACAUGGAGACUGACACAAACACGACCAGAUGUAGGAUCUAGGCAACGAUAUUCUUUAUAAUUAGAAGCAUAACCUAGGAAAAUACAUUAGAUAGAACGUGAUUGAAGCUUAUGAGAAACUU